Molecule: ribosomal RNA, 247 nt
Filed under: uncultured bacterium
Lineage: Bacteria
Description: partial 16S ribosomal RNA
Rfam family: Bacterial small subunit ribosomal RNA
Source: RNAcentral
AGAUGGCGACCGGCGCACGGGUGAGUAACACGUAUCCAACCUGCCGAUAACUCGGGGAUAGCCUUUCGAAAGAAAGAUUAAUACCCGAUGGUAUAAUCAGACCGCAUGGUUUGAUUAUUAAAGAAUUUCGGUUAUCGAUGGGGAUGCGUCCCAUUAGGCAGUUGGUGAGGUAACGGCUCACCAAACCUUCGAUGGAUGGGGGUUCUGAGAGGAAGGUCCCCCACAUUGGAACUGAGACACGGUCCAA